This 87-nucleotide transfer RNA is filed under the name Caldivirga maquilingensis IC-167. It matches the Rfam family "tRNA". From Rfam's summary of the family: Transfer RNA (tRNA) molecules are approximately 80 nucleotides in length. The record is from Rfam by way of RNAcentral. Lineage: Archaea; Thermoproteati; Thermoproteota; Thermoprotei; Thermoproteales; Thermoproteaceae.
GCCGGGGUGGCCGAGCCUGGUCCAAGGCGCGGGACUCGAGAUCCCGUCCCCGCAAAGGGGGCCCGGGUUCAAAUCCCGGCCCCGGCG